This 427-nucleotide ribosomal RNA is filed under the name uncultured bacterium. RNAcentral's name for it is "partial 16S ribosomal RNA". It matches the Rfam family "Bacterial small subunit ribosomal RNA", at positions 355 to 774 of the family's 1533-position model. The record is from RNAcentral.
UGGGGAAUAUUGGACAAUGGGGGCAACCCUGAUCCAGCCAUGCCGCGUGUGUGAAGAAGGCCUUUUGGUUGUAAAGCACUUUAAGCAGUGAAGAAGACUCCAUGGUUAAUACCCAUGGACGAUGACAUUAGCUGCAGAAUAAGCACCGGCUAACUCUGUGCCAGCAGCCGCGGUAAUACAGAGGGUGCAAGCGUUAAUCGGAAUUACUGGGCGUGAAGCGAGCGUAGGUGGCUUGAUAAGUCAGAUGUGAAAGCCCCGGGCUUAACCUGGGAACGGCAUCUGAUACUGUUAGGCUAGAGUAGGUGAGAGGAAGGUAGAAUUCCAGGUGUAGCGGUGAAAUGCGUAGAGAUCUGGAGGAAUACCGAUGGCGAAGGCAGCCUUCUGGCAUCAUACUGACACUGAGGUUCGAAAGCGUGGGUAGCAAACA